UACGUAGGAUGCAAGCGUUGUCCGGAAUUACUGGGCGUAAAGCGUGCGCAGGCGGUUCGUUGUGUCGGCGGGGAAAGCCCCGGGCUUAACCUGGGAAUGGCCGUCGAAACUGGCGAACUGGAGUGUGGCAGAGGGGGGUGGAAUUCCGCGUGUAGCAGUGAAAUGCGUAGAGAUGCGGAGGAACACCGAUGGCGAAGGCAGCCCCCUGGGCUGACACUGACGCUCAGGCACGAAAGCGUGGGGAGCAAACAGG
RNAcentral lists this ribosomal RNA (253 nucleotides) under uncultured bacterium. Its description in RNAcentral is "partial 16S ribosomal RNA". It matches the Rfam family "Bacterial small subunit ribosomal RNA", at positions 524 to 776 of the family's 1533-position model. The record is from RNAcentral.